Molecule: long non-coding RNA, 1239 nt
Organism: Corythoichthys intestinalis (scribbled pipefish)
Lineage: Eukaryota; Metazoa; Chordata; Actinopteri; Syngnathiformes; Syngnathidae
Exons: 4
Source: RefSeq, a predicted model, not a curated record
GUGAAGCUUAAAGGGUUUGGGGGACAAUUGGCCCAAGCCCAAUUCUUUACCCUCCACUUAACUAGACACAAGGGUAUUGCGAUAACUAGCUAGUAACCUUUGCUAUGUGUGGAAGUCAUUUAAAGUUGUGAAUCAAUCGUUAAAGUUGUUAAAAUUUCUCCCGUUAUUGCAUUAGUUCCCUUCUGUCUACUUUAAACAUGUGUAAGUUUUAAAACUGUUUCAUCAUUUAAAGAUAGAUUUAAGUUAAGAUUUUGCCGAUUUAGGAGCAUUUUAGAUUUAAAAAAUUUACUUAGGUUCGCUAGGAAGGAUCUCUACAUCAGGGCCUUCCUGAGAGGUCUACUGCUUUAAGAUGGCGGCUGUUUACAAACGCAUGUAGUCCUUAAAACAUGUUGGCAAUGCAGCAGUGUCUGUCAUUUGCAUCUAGUUCUAUAAUAUGAUAUCUACCGUUUCAUGUGGGCGUAGUUUGUCGGCUAUGGCUGCAGUCAGGUAUUAUUGGAGCCAUCUAGCAUCGCGGUUGCAACGGCGCCGUCUUCCCCACUCCUGCUCUGCUCUCGUCCCCGAUGUGUGAAAAGAUGCCCAACCUCCAACCCUUCCCCAUGACUGACUCUGGUCCAGCACAUAAAGCAUCCAGUAAUUAUUCAACUGAGAAGGCCAAACAAUGAAAGUAUGUUGUAACCGAAGAAGCAUGAUGACGGACAAAUGAGAUGGAGAUGAGGCUUGCAAAUCAGGCAGGUUUCGCUUGGGCGAGCUUGAAGAAUGCCCAUGUGGCGGGAAAUGAAGGCACUACUUUCAUCACAUGCAGCCCCACUCACUUCCAUCUUCCAAAGACGCCAACCUUCCAAUUUAUUCCCCAGGAUUACUUCCUCCCUUAUUUGCUGGAAACAUUCUUUAGAAGAAAGUGGACAGUUCAGUUCAUUUAAAAUUCAACUCAACCUCAUCAGCCCCCACCACGAUAAACCCCCUCUGUACCCGCUCUUGUCUCCCAGCAUUAGCAUUGUGACUGUCAGGGGUACUUCACUAACACACGCAGACCCCCAGCAGCAAGUAGUCCCUGCUGCUUUAAGGGGCAACAGCUAAUUAGUCAUAAUGACUUCUAUUUUGUCCUGGGUUCGCAUCACAUGUUAGAUCCCAAGUGCUUUGGGGGGAAACCCGGACAAUUUCCCCCAUACGAUUUGUCUUAAUAGAAGGGGGGCGGAUAAUAGAAUUACUGUAUUUUGUUUUUUUCCCACUGAUUGAUAA